This 806-nucleotide ribosomal RNA is filed under the name uncultured bacterium. RNAcentral's name for it is "bacterial SSU rRNA". It matches the Rfam family "Bacterial small subunit ribosomal RNA", at positions 66 to 867 of the family's 1533-position model. The record is from RNAcentral.
ACGGUAACAUUUCUAGCUUGCUAGAAGAUGACGAGUGGCGGACGGGUGAGUAAUGCUUGGGAACUUGCCUUUGCGAGGGGGAUAACAGUUGGAAACGACUGCUAAUACCGCAUAAUGUCUUCGGACCAAACGGGGCUUCGGCUCCGGCGCAAAGAGAGGCCCAAGUGAGAUUAGCUAGUUGGUAAGGUAACGGCUUACCAAGGCGACGAUCUCUAGCUGUUCUGAGAGGAAGAUCAGCCACACUGGGACUGAGACACGGCCCAGACUCCUACGGGAGGCAGCAGUGGGGAAUAUUGCACAAUGGGGGAANCCCUGAUGCAGCCCAUGCCGCGUGUGUGAAGAAGGCCUUCGGGUUGUAAAGCACUUUCAGUUGUGAGGAAAAAGUUAGUAGUUAAUACCUGCUAGCCGUGACGUUAACAACAGAAGAAGCACCGGCUAACUCCGUGCCAGCAGCCGCGGUAAUACGGAGGGUGCGAGCGUUAAUCGGAAUUACUGGGCGUAAAGCGCACGCAGGCGGUUUGUUAAGCUAGAUGUGAAAGCCCCGGGCUCAACCUGGGAUGGUCAUUUAGAACUGGCAGACUAGAGUCUUGGAGAGGGGAGUGGAAUUCCAGGUGUAGCGGUGAAAUGCGUAGAUAUCUGGAGGAACAUCAGUGGCGAAGGCGACUCCCUGGCCAAAGACUGACGCUCAUGUGCGAAAGUGUGGGUAGCGAACAGGAUUAGAUACCCUGGUAGUCCACACCGUAAACGCUGUCUACUAGCUGUGUGUGCCUUUAAGGCGUGCGUAGCGAAGCUAACGCGCUAAGUAG